This 248-nucleotide ribosomal RNA is filed under the name uncultured Ethanoligenens sp. RNAcentral's name for it is "partial 16S ribosomal RNA". It matches the Rfam family "Bacterial small subunit ribosomal RNA", at positions 796 to 1041 of the family's 1533-position model. The record is from RNAcentral. Lineage: Bacteria; Bacillati; Bacillota; Clostridia; Eubacteriales; Oscillospiraceae.
CAUGCCGUAAACGAUGAUAGCUAGGUGUGGGGGGUUAUAUGCCAUCCGUGCCGGAGUUAACACAAUAAGCUAUCCACCUGGGGAGUACGGCCGCAAGGCUAAAACUCAAAGGAAUUGACGGGGGCCCGCACAAGCAGUGGAGUAUGUGGUUUAAUUCGAUGCAACGCGAAGAACCUUACCAGGUCUUGACAUCCGACUAACGGAGCAGAAAUGCACUGGUGCCCGCAAGGGAAAGUCGAGACAGGUGG